RNAcentral lists this microRNA precursor (81 nucleotides) under Tursiops truncatus (common bottlenose dolphin). RNAcentral's name for it is "miRNA (ENSTTRG00000023603.1)". Lineage: Eukaryota; Metazoa; Chordata; Mammalia; Artiodactyla; Delphinidae. The record is from RNAcentral.
GUAUGUGUAUAUAUGUAUGUAUGUGUAUAUAUAUAUAUAUAUACACACACACACACACACACACACACACACACACACACA